This is a long non-coding RNA of Oncorhynchus keta (chum salmon), 964 nucleotides long. RefSeq lists it as uncharacterized. The transcript is spliced from 3 exons. The record is from RefSeq and is a predicted model, not a curated record. Lineage: Eukaryota; Metazoa; Chordata; Actinopteri; Salmoniformes; Salmonidae.
UCAUAGUUACCUUGCACGCUGGUGUAGAACCCGUGUGAUGAGGUCAUAGUUACCUUGCACGCUGGUGUAGAACCCGUGUGAUGAGGUCAUAGUUACCUUGCACGCUGGUGUAGAACCUCUGUGAUGAGGUCAUAGUUACCUUGCACGCUGGUGUAGAACCUCUGUGAUGAGGUCAUAGUUACCUUGCACGCUGGUGUAGAACCUCUGUGAUGAGGUCAUAGUUACCUUGCACGCUGGUGUAGAACCCGUGUGAUGAGGUCAUAGUUACCUUGCACGCUGGUGUAGAACCUCUGUGAUGAGGUCAUAGUUACCUUGCACGCUGGUGUAGAACCUCUGUGAUGAGGUCAUAGUUACCUUGCACGCUGGUGUAGAACCCGUGUGAUGAGGUCAUAGUUACCUUGCACGCUGGUGUAGAACCCGUGUGAUGAGGUCAUAGUUACCUUGCACGCUGGUGUAGAACCCGUGUGAUGAGGUCAUAGUUACCUUGCACGCUGGUGUAGAACCCGUGUGAUGAGGUCAUAGUUACCUUGCACGCUGGUGUAGAACCUCUGUGAUGAGGUCAUAGUUACCUUGCACGCUGGUGUAGAACCUCUGUGAUGAGGUCAUAGUUACCUUGCACGCUGGUGUAGAACCCGUGUGAUGAGGUCAUAGUUACCUUGCACGCUGGUGUAGAACCUCUGUGAUGAGGUCAUAGUUACCUUGCACGCUGGUGUAGAACCCGUGUGAUGAGGUCAUAGUUACCUUGCACGCUGGUGUAGAACCCGUGUGAUGAGGUCAUAGUUACCUUGCACGCUGGUGUAGAACCCGUGUGAUGAGGUCAUAGUUACCUUGCACGCUGGUGUAGAACCCGUGUGAUGAGGUCAUAGUUACCUUGCACGCUGGUGUAGAACCCGUGUGAUGAGGUCAUAGUUACCUUGCACGCUGGUGUAGAACCCGUGUGAUGAGGUCAUAGUUACCUUGCACG